CCGCCAUGAUUAAACCUCUUGUAGAAGUGAAUCAAGCAAUAUUAGCUUGGUCG
This 53-nucleotide long non-coding RNA is filed under the name Eurytemora carolleeae. RNAcentral's name for it is "uncharacterized LOC111713844". The record is from RNAcentral. Lineage: Eukaryota; Metazoa; Arthropoda; Copepoda; Calanoida; Temoridae.